UACAUAUGGGGCCAGCGUUGUUCGGAAUUACUGGGCGUAAAGGGCUCGUAGGCGGCCAACUAAGUCAGACGUGAAAUCCCUCGGCUUAACCGGGGAACUGCAUCUGAUACUGGAUGGCUUGAGUUCGGGAGAGGGAUGCGGAAUUCCAGGUGUAGCGGUGAAAUGCGUAGAUAUCUGGAGGAACACCGGUGGCGAAGGCGGCAUCCUGGACCGACACUGACGCUGAGGAGCGAAAGCCAGGGGAGCAAACGGG
This 253-nucleotide ribosomal RNA is filed under the name uncultured bacterium. Its description in RNAcentral is "partial 16S ribosomal RNA". It matches the Rfam family "Bacterial small subunit ribosomal RNA", at positions 524 to 776 of the family's 1533-position model. The record is from RNAcentral.